Halichondria panicea is the source of this 3784-nucleotide RNA transcript. It is a transcript of the gene named inactive histone-lysine N-methyltransferase 2E-like, with no coding region annotated. The transcript has 22 exons. The record is from RefSeq and is a predicted model, not a curated record. Lineage: Eukaryota; Metazoa; Porifera; Demospongiae; Suberitida; Halichondriidae.
CGCAAUAAACAGCUAGCUAUAAUCAUAGAUAGUAACUUUACUAUCUAUGCUAUAAUUAUGAUCUGAACCAGGAACGUAACUAUCCUCCACUCUUUUUAUCUAUACACGCAAUGAGAGUAUCUUGAAGAAUGGAAAAGAAAAAGAAAGAUGAGGAGGACUAUGGUGACUAUGUAACGAGGUGUAUAUGUGAGCUGGAGCAUGACGAUGGCUACAUGAUAGCGUGUGAUGAGUGCGGUGUGUGGCAGCAUAUAGAGUGCAUGCAGGUUGACCCCAAGCACCUCCCUGACAACUACCUCUGUGAGCGAUGUGAGCCGAGGAGUAUUGAUCGGCGCAGGGCUCGACAGAUACAGCUCAAGAAACGUGGUGCUCUCUCUGAGAUGGAGAACUCAAGAAGGAGGCGUGACAUUGAGGGACGAUCCUCCUCCAGCUCUUUGUUGUCUCCAAUACCACUCAGCAGCAGAAAAAAACGAAAGAAGGGAAAAAUCCCUGAGCCUGUCAAGAUGGACUCAUUGAAGCGCACACGUAAGGACACGCCCUCCACUCCCGCUACCACCAAGAAGCCAAAGAAGCGUAUCGGCAGUAAGCCUCAGCCACGGUCUCGUCUCAACAGCUCUACUGGUAGUAUACAAAGCCUCCUCAAUGCUGCUACACUGUUGGAGCAGGGUGAUGGGAGAGAGGGAAAACCAUCGGGACUCUGGAACACCAACUAUAGCCCAUGGAGUGAUGAGUAUGAGACCCUGGCUGAGAACACAGUGAGUGAUAGUCUGGGGAGACUGCUGUCUAGUGGAGACCAACUCUCUCAGCUCAAGUCAGAGGCUGUUGUCUACAGCAGCGUACAGUAUCAGGAAGUGUGUAGGAGUGUGGACGCUGAGUCAGCAUUUUCCCUGGUGGAGGUGGCCAGACGGAGGAAAGGUGUCGUUGCUGACGUCAGCAUUCCUGAGGACGAGUUGGUCACAGAGUACAAGGGGUUAGUGACACUCAAGGCAGAUGUGCUGUCAGAGCUGUCAGUCAAGUCCUUGUGGAGGGAAAGUCCCUGUCCUUUUGUAUACCAGUACGACAAGAUGGCUGACCUUGAGGUGGUACUAGAUGCUCGGGAGGGAGGCAGCAUUGCUCGUUUUAUACGCCGAUCUUGUUCCCCUAACACAGAGGUUCGGCACUUCUUUGUUGAGGACAGCCUCCACUUUGGUGUGUACGCCCUCGGUGACCUUUCACCCCAGGAGGAGAUCACGCUAGCCUUCGACUUCCAACACGACAAAUGUGAUUACCCUAUAGAGUGUGCAUGUGGACAGGUCAAGAGCGCUUGUCUGAUCGCCACGACAACACCGUUAAAAGGAGUGGGCGUACCCAAGUCAUGUGACAUAGAGGAACCAAGUUCUGUACGUGUUCGGCAGCGUUCCUACUCCCACCUGUUGGACGAGGACAGUAACUCUAGUUGGACUAGUACGGCUUCUCAAAGUCGUAAGAGGCGCUCCACACGAGUCACGCCCCUUUCUCCCAAGGCCACACCCCUUUCCCCAAAGCUGAGCAGACCGGCGAGUCGUGAGGAGAGUAGUGACUCAGAGGGUGAGGGAGGAAAAAGACGAAAGUCGCUGACUCGCGAGGAACGCAAAACAGAACAAGUUUGGAAAAUGUUUGAGAAGAUGGAGGCCAGCGCUCAACGUAAGAGACAGCACUUGGUGUCUGAGGGAAGUGCUGACUCAGCGGAGCUUCUCACGUCUCCACUCCUCACACGUCACGCCCACACAGGACGUGAUCGCCGCACACCCAGCACAGGGUCACGAAGGGCACACCUACUCACCUCGUCAGGAAAACUACGCUUAUCAAGUGUGUCGUCAUCUGGUGAUCCAUUGUCCCCGACCUUUGACCUCCCCGAGCUGUUCUCCCCACCCACUACCCCUGCACACACCGCCCACAUGUUCACGCCCCCACUCCCCACACAUUACACACCCUCUGUGAACGUCACUCCAUACCUUAAUCCAAAGUAUCUACUUCAAGAUCUCGUACUGCCAUGGAAAAAAGCAUUCCUGCGUAAGUGGGAGUGUGAAAAGUUGGGGGAGGGGGAAUUCCCUGAUCGUUACUCGUACUGGGCGGGAUCUGACACGCCCACUCAUUAUGGUGACAUAAUGAGGGAGAGAGUGAGAGGAUCUCUAAAACACCGAUGGCUGAUGCAGUACAGUGAAGGCCCUGACAAGGAGAACAUGAUGAUACCAUUACUCUCAUUACCAGGUAAGAAACAGUUUCUACGGCGAUGGGAAGAGGAGACCGUUCCCAUGGCAACCAGUAUUGCGGACAACCUGGACACACAGCAAGACGACAGUAUGGAGGGUGUGGCCAGUGGGCGUGGCUCUCCAUUAUUUGAUGAGUUCUCUGAUGGGGAGGAAUUUGAAUUACCAACAGGAGAACGAAGGAGACGAACCAGCCACACCAGGGUCAAAGACAUGGAACUCAAGGAACGAUCGAUUUCCCCGCCCACACCCUCACACAGUCCUCACACUCCGCCCACUCACGAAUCACCACCCACACAGAGCCCACUAGAAGAAAUGGAGGCAAUAGACGACGAAGAGACAACCUCUCCACUACUUCCACAAGAUCACGUUUCACUUUGCAGCGAUAUUUCAGAAGAUUCGAUUUCUCAAACAGGCCCCAAAACGCCACAAGAAACCACACCCACUUCACCUAUGUCACCUGUGGGACCGCUGACUCCGCCCACUUUACAACAGUCGACCCCUGACCUUUUAUCACCAGCCAUUCAACAUGUGAAUAUCAGCGAUAUAUCUAGUGAUAUGGAUGGUUCAAUAGGUCAAAGUGCAGAGUUUGAGGUCACCAAGUCACGUCCACAGACCCCACCCCCUCACACAAGCACAGAGGCACAGCCUGAGAGACAGACGUCAGAGAGCUCUGAUGUUGAGUGGGCGAGAGGGGAAGUGGAGGGGGCGAAGGAGACGUUGGCACACACUCCAAUCAAAAGAAAGAUCAACUUGUCUGAGUAUCGCAAUCGAAUCAGAAAGCCGGCAGAUAAGAAGUCGUCACUUGAGGCCACGCCCACACCACCCUCACACAUCACACCCUCCACUCACUACCCAACACAACCUGUCGCCAUGGUGACAGCGCUACCACAUGGCGUCGCUAUGGAUACAGGGAUGAAUCUGUCACCAAUUGCCAUGACAACUUGUGUACCAAUGACAACUAUGGCUCCCGGUAUCGCCAUGCCAACAGUGAGUGGUCUGCCACAGUUUGAGCCAGUGAGUCCUGAUGAUAGUGACCACACCCCUCCACUAGGAACUAUGGAAGGUCCUGGUAGUGGUGGUGGUCAGCCCUCACAGAUGAUGAUGGUUGGACCACUGAUGGGUGGUCACCUGAUGCCCCCCAUCACCACACAACCAACCAGUCUAGUGGAGGUGGGUGGUCCACUGCUCAUGUCAGGUUAUAAUCAACAACCUCUUCACGCUCAGCCUCAAGUAGUGUGGCCAGUGGAGGCUUGCAACGACCCUCGUAGAGGUACAGUGUGUAGUGUGUGAUGUGUGUGAUGUGUGUGGCCAGUGGAGGGAGGCUUGCAACGACCCUCGUAGAGGUACAGUGUGUAGUGUGUGAUGUGUGUGUGUGUGUGGCCAGUGGAGGGAGGCUUGCAACGACCCUCGUAGAGUGUCCCUUGGAGAGCGUGGUUUUGUGGAGCCCUACCCACCCUCACAUAUGACACACCCUCACUAUGGGAUGGGGGGAAUGGGCUUCCCUCGCCCACCCCACCCCCCUCACGGACAGUACAUGCCACGCCCCCCCAGACCAC